This is a small nucleolar RNA of Ornithorhynchus anatinus (platypus), 71 nucleotides long. RefSeq annotates it as small nucleolar RNA SNORD73. Lineage: Eukaryota; Metazoa; Chordata; Mammalia; Monotremata; Ornithorhynchidae. The transcript has a single exon. The record is from RefSeq and is a predicted model, not a curated record.
AACGGGUGAUGACCACAUGUUUCGGUCCCAGAUGACGCCCUGUGAUUUCACCGUUGCGAUUUUCUGACGUU